GACUGUUUAGCUACUUGUCAAAUCACUUGGGUCAGAAUAUCCAUACUAUGAUCUACCAUCACCAGAGUUAUGCCAGCAAAGCUGUUACCAACUGCUAACUGCAUCACACACUAACUAAUUUGAAAGACCUGAGAAAUUACACAAAUGCCCCCUGAGGUGGUCUGCUGGAGGCUUUUCACAUUCCAUGUCACACUGUUGCAAAUAGAGCUAGUAGCCACUAGAGGGAAGGAGACUGCUGGCUUUCCCAAGUGUUUCACCGUGGAGCAUGAAGGUGAAGAAGCUGUCACAGGACUGGUUGCCCAAGGAAAAUCUUUAAAAUAUGGUGGUAUGAAGGUGGGGAAACCAAGAGGAUUAGAUGUCCGCCAGAGUUCAUGUAGGCCUGGCAAUGGGAGGAGAAAAACAAAACGAAGCAUAAACCUACCAGCAUCACAGUGUUGUAGUGAUGAUAAAAUGAAGAUGAGAACCUCG
RNAcentral lists this long non-coding RNA (468 nucleotides) under Salvator merianae (Argentine black and white tegu). RNAcentral describes it as "lncRNA (ENSSMRG00000003808.1)". The record is from RNAcentral. Lineage: Eukaryota; Metazoa; Chordata; Lepidosauria; Squamata; Teiidae.